GGGGAAUAUUGGACAAUGGGGGGAACCCUGAUCCAGCCAUGCCGCGUGUGUGAAGAAGGCCUUAUGGUUGUAAAGCACUUUAAGCGAGGAGGAGGCUCUUUUGGUUAAUACCCAAGAUGAGUGGACGUUACUCGCAGAAUACGCACCGGCUAACUCUGUGCCAGCAGCCGCGGUAAUACGGAGGAUGCGAGCGUUAUCCGGAUUUAUUGGGUUUAAAGGGUGCGCAGGCGGGCUUUUAAGUCAGCGGUGAAAUCUGGACGCUUAACGUCCAAACUGCCGUUGAAACUGGGAGUCUUGAGUAUGGAUGAAGUAGGCGGAAUUCGUUGUGUAGCGGUGACAUGCAUAGAUAUAACGAGGAACUCCGAUUGCGUAGGCAGCUUACUAAGCCAUAACUGACGCUCAUGCACGAAAGCGUGGGGAUCAAACA
This 427-nucleotide ribosomal RNA is filed under the name uncultured Dysgonomonas sp. RNAcentral's name for it is "bacterial SSU rRNA". It matches the Rfam family "Bacterial small subunit ribosomal RNA", at positions 356 to 774 of the family's 1533-position model. The record is from RNAcentral. Lineage: Bacteria; Pseudomonadati; Bacteroidota; Bacteroidia; Bacteroidales; Dysgonomonadaceae.